RNAcentral lists this ribosomal RNA (401 nucleotides) under uncultured bacterium. Its description in RNAcentral is "bacterial SSU rRNA". It matches the Rfam family "Bacterial small subunit ribosomal RNA", at positions 29 to 441 of the family's 1533-position model. The record is from RNAcentral.
AACGAACGCUGGCGGCAGGCUUAACACAUGCAAGUCGAACGAGAAAGCUCUUCGGAGUGAGUAGAGUGGCGCACGGGUGAGUAAUGUAUAGGAACGUGCCCUUAGAUUUGGAAUAACCAAGGGAAACUUUGGCUAAUACCGUAUAGUCUCGAAAGAGUAAAGGUGGGGCAACCUACCGUCUAAGGAUCGGCCUAUAUCCCAUUAGCUAGUUGGUAGGGUAAUGGCCUACCAAGGCUACGAUGGGUAGCUGGUCUGAGAGGAUGAUCAGCCACACUGGGACUGAGACACGGCCCAGACUCCUACGGGAGGCAGCAGUGGGAAUAUUGCACAAUGGAGGAAACUCUGAUGCAGCCAUGCCGCGUGAGUGAAGAAGGCCCUUGGGUCGUAAAGCUCUUUCGAUU